UGGGGAAUUUUGGACAAUGGGCGCAAGCCUGAUCCAGCAAUGCCGCGUGCAGGAAGAAGGCCUUCGGGUUGUAAACUGCUUUUGUACGGAACGAAACGGUCUGGGUUAAUACCCUGGGCUAAUGACGGUACCGUAAGAAUAAGCACCGGCUAACUACGUGCCAGCAGCCGCGGUAAUACGUAGGGUGCAAGCGUUAAUCGGAAUUACUGGGCGUAAAGCGUGCGCAGGCGGUUUUGUAAGACAGGCGUGAAAUCCCCGGGCUCAACCUGGGAAUUGCGCUUGUGACUGCAAGGCUGGAGUGCGGCAGAGGGGGAUGGAAUUCCGCGUGUAGCAGUGAAAUGCGUAGAUAUGCGGAGGAACACCGAUGGCGAAGGCAAUCCCCUGGGCCUGCACUGACGCUCAUGCACGAAAGCGUGGGGAGCAAACAGGAUUAGAUACCCUGGUAGUCCACGCCCUAAACGAUGUCAACUGGUUGUUGGGUCUCUUCUGACUCAGUAACGAAGCUAACGCGUGAAGUUGACCGCCUGGGGAGUACGGCCGCA
This 542-nucleotide ribosomal RNA is filed under the name uncultured beta proteobacterium. RNAcentral's name for it is "bacterial SSU rRNA". It matches the Rfam family "Bacterial small subunit ribosomal RNA", at positions 355 to 890 of the family's 1533-position model. Lineage: Bacteria; Pseudomonadati; Pseudomonadota; Betaproteobacteria. The record is from RNAcentral.